CAUAGCCAAAUAUAACUAAAGGAUUAAGAGUAGGGUUGCUCACAAACCUAACAUCGCCACCACCUGGUGCCCAUGUAUCAUAUACCCCUCCAACAAAUAAAGACUUGAUUACUAAUAGAAAUGCUCCAAUUCCUAGUAAUACUAAAUGUAUACCAAGAAUUGUUGUCAUCUUGUUUUUAUCGCGCCA
RNAcentral lists this antisense RNA (187 nucleotides) under Porphyra purpurea. RNAcentral describes it as "Antisense RNA which regulates isiA expression". It matches the Rfam family "Antisense RNA which regulates isiA expression". The record is from Rfam by way of RNAcentral. Lineage: Eukaryota; Rhodophyta; Bangiophyceae; Bangiales; Bangiaceae.